UCUGAUCAGGGUGUCAGUGUUAAACGAAGUUGUGUUUGCAGGAAAUAUAUUUAAGAGUUACGAAUAUUGUGCAACUGCAGCAGCAAAACAAGGAUUGUGUCCUCAGGCAAAGCUUGGGUCAAUGUGUUGCGACGUAAUACUACACAGACGGCAGGUAGCAGCAUACCGAUUGCGCGCAUGAGGGUGUAAACUGCCGUUGCGUGAAUUUGUUGCGCUUCUUGACGUGGGUGAAGCGACGUGGAAAUGUCAAGUCGACGAUAUCAGCCACAUUACCGAUUUCUCGUUUCCACGUGCGCUGGGGUCCAGCGAUAACUGCUGUGUGGCGGUUGAGCAGCGAGGCUGGAGGAGGAGGAGGGAAGAAGAAGAAGAAGAUGAAGUACGGUGAAGGUGGCGGUAGCCGCGGUGACGCGCGACCCCGCCCCCAACGCUCCAGUACGCAAACUCCACCUUCGUCUUGUCACCUAUUGUCACUGCGCUAACAGUACCUGCUGCUUUCACAUCCACCAAUGAGGCGCGGCAAGAGGAGGGAUUGACUCGUCUCCUAUUGGCUGAUGGUCUGGUGCACGGGGAGGAAGAUGGAUGGCGCUGAUGUAGCACGGUCCUUGUGGUCUGUGAAGGCAGUCCGAGAGACUGGGUUGCUAAGAGUUCACGUAUCGAUUUUGUGUGAAGAGAGGAGACUGGGGAGGUUUUAUUGCAUUUUGAAGCUUCGAGAAAUGUUACUGCUUGCUUAUACCCUCAGGUGACAUGUUCUGUGUCCAGAAUUACAUAGGGAUUUAAUUUACGAGAGUAUAAACUAAGAAAUGCGAUUGAAAUAU
Cryptotermes secundus is the source of this 815-nucleotide long non-coding RNA. RefSeq lists it as uncharacterized. The record is from RefSeq and is a predicted model, not a curated record. The transcript has 3 exons. Lineage: Eukaryota; Metazoa; Arthropoda; Insecta; Blattodea; Kalotermitidae.